UACGUAGGGUGCAAGCGUUGUCCGGAAUUAUUGGGCGUAAAGAGCUCGUAGGCGGUCUGUCGCGUCGGCUGUGAAAACUCGGGGCUCAACUCCGAGCUUGCAGUCGAUACGGGCAGGCUAGAGUUCGGCAGGGGAGACUGGAAUUCCUGGUGUAGCGGUGAAAUGCGCAGAGUAUCGGGAGGAACACCGGUGGCGAAGGCGGUUCUCUGGGCCUUACC
RNAcentral lists this ribosomal RNA (218 nucleotides) under uncultured bacterium. RNAcentral's name for it is "partial 16S ribosomal RNA". It matches the Rfam family "Bacterial small subunit ribosomal RNA", at positions 524 to 740 of the family's 1533-position model. The record is from RNAcentral.